Molecule: long non-coding RNA, 651 nt
Organism: Folsomia candida
Lineage: Eukaryota; Metazoa; Arthropoda; Collembola; Entomobryomorpha; Isotomidae
Exons: 4
Source: RefSeq, a predicted model, not a curated record
UAUAUGUACAUGAUAUAAAUACGAUCGUACAGUGAUAUAUUGGGAAUAACGAAAUACGCAUAUUAAUGCCAAAACCCGAGAGCAUAUGUCAGUAAAUUUGCAUGUGUAUGCACUUAAUAACUGUAUCCAACUUAUCAAGUGAAUAAUAAACGGGUAGAGAAAGUUUCACAAAUAUUCUCAUAAAAUGGCCGGAGUAAUGAUGGAGGGCAAGUUAAGGAUCCACAUCACUUACUGCAAACCUUGAGGGUAUGAUAAGAAAUUCAAAAUCCUGCAAGAGGAUCUUGACCGCAGCUUCCCAUCACAGUUGCAUAUCACGGGGGAAUCGACCGAUGUGAUGCCUUCCUUUGAAGUUCAGAUUUUAGGGGGACCUCUCGUUUUCACCAACAAGGAGGGAGUAUGACUGACGGAUAAUACGCCCAAUAUGGCAACCAUUGUUUCUGAGAUUGGGAAGGCUCUACAGAAUUUGGUUGAAUGAAGGGAGAGAUUUAAAAAUAUUGAAGACAUAUUAACCAUUUGUAUGCUUUUAAUUUCUAUACACAACUUUUACCUAUGACGCACUUUGCUGAAACCGAAAAGAAUCGGGGGCUAAAUGCCGAUUUGCCGGAAGGCUGUGAAACGUUGUCAAUAAAAAUAUACAGAAAAAUUUCAGAA